UACGUAGGGGGCAAGCGUUAUCCGGAAUGAUUGGGCGUAAAGCGUCCGCAGGUGGUUGUGUGUGUCUAUUGUCAAAGCAUCAUGCUUAACAUGAUAAAGGCAGUAGAAACUACACGACUAGAGUGCGUUCGGGGCAGAGGGAAUUCCUGGUGUAGCGGUGAAAUGCGUAGAGAUCAGGAAGAACACCGGUGGCGAAAGCGCUCUGCUAGGCCGCAACUGACACUGAGGGACGAAAGCUAGGGGAGCGAAUGGG
This 253-nucleotide ribosomal RNA is filed under the name uncultured bacterium. Its description in RNAcentral is "partial 16S ribosomal RNA". It matches the Rfam family "Bacterial small subunit ribosomal RNA", at positions 524 to 776 of the family's 1533-position model. The record is from RNAcentral.